UGGUUCUGGCAUCGAUGAAGAACGCAGCGAAAUGCGAUAAGUAAUGUGAAUUGCAGAAUUCAACGAAUCAUCGAAUCUUUGAACGCAUAUUGCGCCCAUUAGUAUUCUAGUGGGCAUGCCUGUUCGAGCGUCAUUUCAACCCUCAAGUUUUUAAUGACUUGGUGUUGGGGCUAUCUGUUGUGCAGUUGUCCUACAGGCCCUGAAAGACAUUGGCGAGCCCGCUGUAAACCCGAGCGUAGUAGAUUAUUCUUUUUCGCUUAGGGGCGUACAGUGGGUAUUUUUCAGCCGUUAAAUAUACUCUUUCAUUAUAAAGGUUGACCUCGGAUCAGGUAGGAAUACCCGCUGA
This 346-nucleotide unclassified non-coding RNA is filed under the name uncultured fungus. RNAcentral's name for it is "partial contains 5.8S ribosomal RNA and internal transcribed spacer 2". The stretch from base 1 to 133 matches the Rfam family "5.8S ribosomal RNA", at positions 22 to 154 of the family's 154-position model. Lineage: Eukaryota; Fungi. The record is from RNAcentral.